This 253-nucleotide ribosomal RNA is filed under the name uncultured bacterium. Its description in RNAcentral is "partial 16S ribosomal RNA". It matches the Rfam family "Bacterial small subunit ribosomal RNA", at positions 524 to 776 of the family's 1533-position model. The record is from RNAcentral.
UACGGGGGGGGUAAGCGUUGUUCGGAAUUACUGGGCGUAAAGGGCUCGUAGGCGGCCAACUAAGUCAUACGUGAAAUCCCUCAGCUUAACUGGGGAACUGCGUCCGAUACUGGAUGGCUUGGAUUUGGGAGAGGGAUGCGGAAUUCCAGGUGUAGCGGUGAAAUGCGCAGAUAUCUGGAGGAACACCGGUGGCGAAGGCGGCAUCCUGGACCAAUAUUGACGCUGAGGAGCGAAAGCCAGGGGAGCAAACGGG